CUACCCCGGCUCCUUGGGAUAGAUGGGGAGGCUGAGGCCCAGAAGGGGGCUGAGACCACCUCCCAGUUUCCCCAGCGAGGUGGCGCCUGAGCCACGGCCAGGCCCGGCCUCCUUCCACCCGGCCCUGCUGUGCGCGCGGCAGGUGCUGACCUGGCGAGGCCCGACAGGGGACCAGGUCGGGGUGACCGUCACUGACACCUGGACAGUCCUCGUUGUGUUCGGGGUGGGAAGCCCACGGUGAGUCUGGGGACCCAAGAUCUUAUUUUCCUUUCUGUCACCCCCGCUUGGUUUUGGACUCCAUGACAGCUGGACCCGGCUUCUGCGUGAUCUUCAGAGGGAAGGCACCGGGAGUGGACUGCUGGACACCCGGAGUGGACUGCAGGAGGACACAGAAGCUAGGCUGAAGCGGGAGGAAGCUGGGAACCCUGCACGGGGCCACUGCGCACUGGGACUCGUUACUGGUCCCCAAGACUCAGGGAGAAUGGGUGAGUUGAACUGGCAAGGAGGAGCCCACUGUCACUACGGGCCUCUGGAAUCCCGGCAGGAGGAGAUUAACCACCAUGGACACUCGAGGUGGCAGAGAGAGCUGCCUAGAGAAGGUGUGGGGGCAGCAGCCAGCUGAGGCAGAGCCCGGAGGGUUUGGUGCAGGAGAGUCUGUAGUGGAGGGCCAUCCCCCAGGCUCAAAUUCCUCCCAUAGGAGAUUUUAGCCCUAGGGGAGCUGUUGUAUGUGAUCUUUGCAGGGCGGUCUUGCCCAUCAGAUGGGGCCAGUCUGACCCGAGCAUGCCUUGGUCUGCUGGCCUCUCCCAGGGCCCCGGCCUGGCCACGCCUGCUUGCAGGCCAGCUCUGGGUGCCCUGGGGGCCUGCAGCAUAGCUUCUGCACUGGUGGACCAUGCCUGAUUGGUGGAGAGCUCCAGCAGGGCAGCCCCCAUAUCCCUGUGCCAGCCUGCCCACUGCCUCCCACACUGCAGCUUCUCCAGGGCCCACUGUCACCCCCCAUCUUGCUUUUGCCAGUGCAUAUCUGUGCAGGUGGGUUUUGCUUUCCUUGCCCGCCAGUGUACCUGUGUGUUUGCACCGUGCCCUGCCAUUGCUGUGGCAGGAGUACCGUUUGCCCCACGCCCCCUGCUGACUGCCAUUGCAGUUGGAGCCUUGGCAGACACAGAGCCAGCCAGCCCCACCUCCCUUGCACCCCACUCUUGCACCAACACUGUUGCGGGAGUGAAACUAGGCACGGAACAGGGACCACCCUGCCUGUGGGGCACAAAGAAUGCCACAGGCCUGGGCCUGCCGGUGCUCCACCUCCAUCCCAACACCACCACCAGCAUGGCUGUUGCCAGCAGGGGGCCCUGCCCCCCAGGUGCUUUCUUCUGCCACUGUGGUGAACACCUGCAUGGAGGCAGGCACCCAAGCACUUGCUAGCACCCUGCCACAGCCGAUGAACGUGCACCCUGUGCUGCUGCCACCACGGCUGCUGGCAUGUGCAAGCAAGAAUGGAUCCUGCUGCCACUGCACUGCAAAAUGCAUUGGCUGGCACCACCUAUCAGAGUGUAGUGACCGGUAGUGAGGAGCACCUUGAUCCCUCAGUGCAGUUGAUUCCUAACCUCCAGGAGCCAGAGAACAAAGUUGGUGCCUGAUACAAGUCCCCCAGUUAGAGCACACAGUCCGGGAGUCAGGAACUGAGCCUUGGCCCCCUAAAAUCAUCCAGAAACAAAGCCAGUCAGCUGAAUCCAACUUAUACUACAAUCAAAUCCUCAAGGUCAUCAAAUAGGAUAAAAGAAAAAAAAA
RNAcentral lists this long non-coding RNA (1782 nucleotides) under Pan troglodytes (chimpanzee). RNAcentral describes it as "lincRNA". Lineage: Eukaryota; Metazoa; Chordata; Mammalia; Primates; Hominidae. The record is from RNAcentral.